Molecule: ribosomal RNA, 442 nt
Filed under: uncultured bacterium
Lineage: Bacteria
Description: partial 16S ribosomal RNA
Rfam family: Bacterial small subunit ribosomal RNA
Source: RNAcentral
CCUACGGGCGGCAGCAGUGGGGAAUAUUGGGCAAUGGGCGCAAGCCUGACCCAGCAACGCCGCGUGAAGGAAGAAGGCUUUCGGGUUGUAAACUUCUUUUAAGAGGGAAGAGCAGAAGACGGUACCUCUUGAAUAAGCCACGGCUAACUACGUGCCAGCAGCCGCGGUAAUACGUAGGUGGCAAGCGUUGUCCGGAUUUACUGGGUGUAAAGGGCGUGUAGCCGGGCUGACAAGUCAGAUGUGAAAUCCCGUGGCUCAACCACGGAACUGCAUUUGAAACUGUCGGUCUUGAGUAUCGGAGAGGCAGGCGGAAUUCCUAGUGUAGCGGGGAAAGGCGGAGAUAUUAGGAGGAACCCCAGGGGCGAAGGGGGCCGGCUGGACGACAACUGACGGUGAGGCGCGAAAGCGUGGGGAGCAAACAGGAUUAGAUACCCCAGUAGUC